GUUCCCUGGAAAGGGGCG
This 18-nucleotide small nuclear RNA is filed under the name Arabidopsis thaliana (thale cress). RNAcentral describes it as "snRNA_18257". Lineage: Eukaryota; Viridiplantae; Streptophyta; Magnoliopsida; Brassicales; Brassicaceae. The record is from RNAcentral.